Molecule: long non-coding RNA, 402 nt
Filed under: Olea europaea (common olive)
Lineage: Eukaryota; Viridiplantae; Streptophyta; Magnoliopsida; Lamiales; Oleaceae
Description: long non-coding RNA (OEUR_LNC000962)
Source: RNAcentral
UUAACCAUCAAAGAGUCUUCAAUCAUGACUUCGGAAGAGAUUUCUUUCAACUCGUCCUUAGCCUUGUUGAUCUCCAUGCGUAAAGACUCUUUCUCAGCUACAGCUCGAAGAUAUUGAGUACGCUUGGCCUUUAGUUCAGCAUUCUUGGCCAGCAUAGAAAGGACCUCGGAGUGAAUGACUUUCAACGUCGCUUUAAAGUCGGCAGAAAGAUUGAGCGACGGAAGCGUCAGUGCUUGCUCUAACUUCGCACUCAAGUGCUCAAGUUCAUCCUUGUGUCUGGCAGCACUAGCCCUUCCAAUGUCCAUAUCCAUGAAGGAUACAUACUCAAAUACCAAUUCCUUCAAGAACUUCAAAUCAUCCUCUGAAGAAGCGGCAGGACAACCAGAUGGAGCAGGGCGAGGC